AGAUGUUCCGGAAGGAGUUUCUAUACAUUGUAGAGCUUGAAUAAGUAGUUCGUUUACACUGGAUUGAUCCUUUAAUUAGGUGCAGUGAUUAUUUUUUUUUUGAAUUUUACGUUUAAGGCUUUUAAUAUUUUAGUAAAAUUAUGAAUUGAUAGUUUUUUAAAAACCGUAAGGGUGUGUUUUAUAAAUUUUAUAAGAAGGAAGCAUUAUAUUUACCUUUUGUAUCAGGGGUUAUCUAAUUUUUUUUUAUAAAUUUUCCCGAAAUAUACUGGGCAACUUUUUAUUAAAAAUAAUGUUUCAGAAUUAUUAGCAAUAAGAAGUAGAAUAGAAAUUAUAAUCGAAGUAUAUAUAUCUGGUUGUUUAUUUUUCAAUAUAGUUGAUUUUUUCUUUUUUUAUGUCACUUAAAGGUUUAAAAUUAAGAAUGAAAUUUUGUAAGGGGGUUAGCUCUUAUUAAUAAAGAAAAUUUGUAUUUUUCAAAUUAUAGGCUUCAGGCUUAAGAUCAGCUUUUAGUAAGUUUUAUUAAACUAUAAAAAUUAGUGGAUUUAAUUAUUAUUUCUUUAAAAAUAAAACUUCAUAAAUUAAUUUUUUAUUUAUGGUAUAAAUGAAUAACAUUAGUAGUUUAUAUAUUUUUUUUUAUAAAUUUAAAAUUUAAAGUAUAGUAACUCGGCAACAUAUUCUGUAACUGUUUAACAAAAACAUUUCCUUUAGUUUUUUUUAAAGGUAAGGCCUGCCCACUGUUUUUAUAAAGGGCCGCGGUAUUUUGACCGUGCUAAGGUAGCAUAAUAAUUAGUUCUUUAAUUGGGGAAUGGAAUGAAUGGCUAAAUAUAGAAUAGCUUUCUUUGCUUUAAAAAUGAAUUUGAGAUUUAAGUUAAAACGCUUAAAUAUUUUAUUGGGACGACAAGACCCCUUAGAUCUUUAUUCCGUGGGAAUUUUAUUGGGGCAAUAACAGAAUACGUAAAACUUCUGCUUAGUUUUAUAAGUAAAAUCUAGAAUUUCAAAAUAUAGAAAAAGAUACCUAGGGGAUAACAGCGUUAUUCAUCUUAAGAGUUCAUAUCUACAGAAUGAGUUUGCGACCUCGAUGUUGAAUUAAAAUUGCUUUUGGGGGCAGUAUUUCAAUAUAAAGCUAGUCUGUUCGACUAUUAAAAUUUUACAUGAUUUGAGUUCAAACCGGCGUAAGCCAGGUUGGUUUCUAUCUAAUAGUGCUAUAAUUGUAGCUUUAGUACGAAAGGACCAAGCUACAAAAUUUAAUUCACUAAAUUGGCAG
RNAcentral lists this ribosomal RNA (1261 nucleotides) under Spinactaletes boneti. Its description in RNAcentral is "16S ribosomal RNA". The stretch from base 860 to 1261 matches the Rfam family "Bacterial large subunit ribosomal RNA", at positions 2048 to 2723 of the family's 2925-position model. The record is from RNAcentral. Lineage: Eukaryota; Metazoa; Arthropoda; Collembola; Entomobryomorpha; Actaletidae.